UACGUAGGGUGCAAGCGUUAAUCGGAAUUACUGGGCGUAAAGCGUGCGCAGGCGGUUUUGUAAGUCUGUCGUGAAAUCCCCGGGCUCAACCUGGGAAUUGCGAUGGAGACUGCAAGGCUAGAAUCUGGCAGAGGGGGGUAGAAUUCCACGUGUAGCAGUGAAAUGCGUAGAGAUGUGGAGGAACACCGAUGGCGAAGGCAGCCCCCUGGGUCAAGAUUGACGCUCAUGCACAGAAG
This 236-nucleotide ribosomal RNA is filed under the name uncultured bacterium. Its description in RNAcentral is "partial 16S ribosomal RNA". It matches the Rfam family "Bacterial small subunit ribosomal RNA", at positions 524 to 759 of the family's 1533-position model. The record is from RNAcentral.